GAUGAACGCCGACAGAAUGCUUAACACAUGCAAGUCAACUUGAACUUCGGUUUGGGUGGCGGACGGGUGAGUAACGCGUAAAGAACUUGCCUCACAGCUAGGGACAACAUUUGGAAACGAAUGCUAAUACCUGAUAUUAUGAUUUUAGGGCAUCCUAGAAUUAUGACAGCUAUAUGCGCUGUGAGAGAGCUUUGCGUCCCAUUAGCUAGUUGGAGAGGUAACGGCUCACCAAGGCGAUGAUGGGUAGCCGGCCUGAGAGGGUGAGCGGCCACAAGGGGACUGAGACACGGCCCUUACUCCUACGGGAGGCAGCAGUGGGGAAUAUUGGACAAUGGACCAAGAGUCUGAUCCAGCAAUUCUGUGUGCACGAUGAAGUUUUUCGGAAUGUAAAGUGCUUUCAGUUGGGAAGAAAAAAAUGACGGUACCAACAGAAGAAGUGACGGCUAAAUACGUG
This 454-nucleotide ribosomal RNA is filed under the name uncultured bacterium. RNAcentral describes it as "partial 16S ribosomal RNA". It matches the Rfam family "Bacterial small subunit ribosomal RNA", at positions 28 to 507 of the family's 1533-position model. The record is from RNAcentral.